This is an RNA transcript of Mytilus trossulus (common blue mussel), 526 nucleotides long. RefSeq lists it as uncharacterized. The transcript is spliced from 4 exons. Lineage: Eukaryota; Metazoa; Mollusca; Bivalvia; Mytilida; Mytilidae. The record is from RefSeq and is a predicted model, not a curated record.
UGAUAAUGGGAGUUUCUGCAUUACUUUUCGCUUUUGCUUUAAGGAAUAACUGAUUUUGUCGUAUCAAGGUAAUUCGUCCUCGAAAUCCAACAGAUAAACCUCUAGCUCAAAAAUGAAAUCUAACAUCAUGUUUCUUAUGGUUGUGAUUUUGUCAUUUAAAGAGUGCCAUUCGUCGUGCACGGCGGAGCAAGUAUCAGAAAAUUCCCUUGGAUGUACUUAUAAAGGUAACUUUAUACCAAAGGGAGUGACCAAAAGCUUUUACCAGCCUGAGUGUGUCAGAUGCAGCUGUUCUGAAACAAUGCAUUCAUGCUGUUCAAUAGGCAUUACAAUAACAAGUGUGGGGCCAGAAUGUGAAAUUGUUCAGGAAGGUUGUACUCAACGUGCAGUUUUGAAGUCUGAUAGUAGUGAAGCAUGUUCUACGGUUACUGCAAUUGGCAGGUAAACCAGUUGGAUCCUGAUUCGUUAUAAGUGGAAGUGUUGUAGUAUUUGAAAUUAAAGCCAUGUUCCAGACAGUAUGGGACUUUCA